CAGCAGCCGCGGUAAUACGUAGGGGGCGAGCGUUACCCGGAUUCACUGGGCGUAAAGGGGGUGUAGGCGGCUCGGUAAGUCGGGUGUGAAAUCCCACGGCUCAACCGUGGAAUUGCGCCCGAAACUGCCGAGCUUGGGGCCGGUAGAGGGAGACGGAACUGCCGGUGUAGGGGUGAAAUCCGUAGAUAUCGGCAGGAACGCCGGUGGGGAAGCCGGUCUCCUGGGCCGCGCCCGACGCUGAGGCCCGAAAGCUAGGGGAGCAAACCGGAUUAGAUACCCGGGUAGUCCUAGCCGUAAACGAUGCCCACUAGGUGUGGGGGAGUAUUUCCUCCGUGCUGGAGCUAACGCGUUAAGUGGGCCGCCUGGGGAGUACGCCCGCAAGGGUGAAACUUAAAGGAAUUGGCGGG
This 407-nucleotide ribosomal RNA is filed under the name uncultured microorganism. RNAcentral describes it as "bacterial SSU rRNA". It matches the Rfam family "Bacterial small subunit ribosomal RNA", at positions 509 to 917 of the family's 1533-position model. The record is from RNAcentral.